AGGACGAACGCUGGCGGCGUGCUUAACACAUGCAAGUGGAGCGACGAACCAGGCUUCGGCCUGGGGCAAAGCCGCGAACGGGUGAGUAACACGUGGGUAACCUGCCCUGAUGACCGGGACAACCCGAGGAAACUCGGGCUAAUACCGGAUGUGCUCCCAUCACACCAGUGGUGUGAGUAAAGAUAGCUUCGGCCUUCGCAUCGGGAUGGGCCCGCGGCGCAUUAGCUUGUUGGUGGGGUAACGGCCUACCAAGGCAACGAUGCGUAGCUGGUCUGAGAGGACGAUCAGCCACACUGGGACUGAGACACGGCCCAGACUCCUACGGGAGGCAGCAGUGGGGAAUAUUGCGCAAUGGGCGGAAGCCUGACGCAGCGACGCCGCGUGAGGGAUGACGGCCUUCGGGUUGUAAACCUCUUUCAGCAGGGACGAAGCGAGAGUGACGGUACCUGCAGAAGAGCACCGGCAACUACGUGCCAGCAGCCG
RNAcentral lists this ribosomal RNA (483 nucleotides) under uncultured bacterium. RNAcentral describes it as "SSU rRNA". It matches the Rfam family "Bacterial small subunit ribosomal RNA", at positions 26 to 517 of the family's 1533-position model. The record is from RNAcentral.